RNAcentral lists this transfer RNA (100 nucleotides) under Pirellulaceae bacterium. Its description in RNAcentral is "tRNA-Sec". It matches the Rfam family "Selenocysteine transfer RNA". The record is from RNAcentral. Lineage: Bacteria; Pseudomonadati; Planctomycetota; Planctomycetia; Pirellulales; Pirellulaceae.
GGAAGUGCUUGUACGCCUGGUGGCGGCCUCAGUCUUCAAAACUGCUGGGCCUUGCGUUAACCGUUGGGCCGGUGGGUUCGAUUCCCAUGCACUUCCGCCA